UUGUUUCGUUUGCGUGUGUUUUGUGAUACCGAAAGUUUUUCUCACAUUAUUUCUGUGCCGAAAUGGAAGACUCAGAAUUAGCCUUUGUCAACAUUAUAAAAGAUUACCCCGCAAUCAUCAGUAAAUCGCAAACUCUGGCCGCAAGAAGGGAGAAGGCAGAUUGUAUUAAGGAAAUACAACACCGUUAUAGGGUUAGUUUCCGGGAAAGAAAUUACAGACGGGCAGAUAAUGGACAAACUGCACAACAUGAAAUCCCUUAUUGAGGCCAAGUCGGAUGUUAAUAAGAUGGCAACCAUUAAGAUUUCCCUGAAAAAUUGAGAGCAGACAUUUUUGAAGUUUUUGGACGGAGAUGACUGCAACCCAACUAUCCACAGAGUUCUUGGAGCUUGUGCAGUAGGUGGUGGUUGCACCUCUGUCAUCUCUUCACCACGAAAUUCGGAGGUAGCUGACAGACUGCACCUUGUAUGAACAAGAAUCAAUGUUGCAGCUACCACAAAUAGUUGCAGCCGACCCUAUGGAUCUCAUGGGCCCCGAAGUCGUCAUACCUGCUCAGUCGCCUGCUUCGGGGCAUGAGAGAGUGCCUAAUUGUCAGAGAUUGAGUAUGGAAACAGAUGAGACAGUUAAUUUGUCUACUUCAGAGCUGCAAAGGCUGGUGCUAUUAUACCAAUUAGACAUAUUGAAACGAAAGCAGCAGAAAUUGAUGCGUGAUGAAGAGAAACAAUAAAAACAUUGUGUAGUGUCUUAUUUACAUACCGAAUUUUAUCAAUAAAAACAUCUUUUUUAAGUGAA
Long non-coding RNA from Schistocerca nitens (vagrant locust), 789 nucleotides. RefSeq lists it as uncharacterized. NCBI's taxonomy places the organism in Eukaryota, Metazoa, Arthropoda, Insecta, Orthoptera, Acrididae. The record is from RefSeq and is a predicted model, not a curated record. The transcript has 2 exons.